CAGGAGUUGUCCGAUUUAGUUUCGCGUCGUGAGGUGAUUUGUAAGCUAAAAAGUAAGUCGAUCGAACUAUCGUGCGAUCAAUCAAACGUGCUAGCAGUAGGUAGUGUGCGAGUGUGGAGCGUAAAACAGAGUUGUGGCAAGUGUGCCGGAGACCCGUCACCUCACAGGUUUUAGCCAGCGACUACUCCUGACCCCACCUUGCAGCUUCAAAGUUUCCCGGCGGUCCACUUUGCCGGAAGGGGCCGCGAUCGACAUUUUCGCGCCCAGGCAGGGCGAAGGCAAAGCAAGUCAGCAGCAACAGCAACCGUUUUCCCGCUGUCGGUGACGACCGAGAGC
Long non-coding RNA from Armigeres subalbatus, 336 nucleotides. RefSeq lists it as uncharacterized. NCBI's taxonomy places the organism in Eukaryota, Metazoa, Arthropoda, Insecta, Diptera, Culicidae. The record is from RefSeq and is a predicted model, not a curated record. The transcript has 3 exons.